Molecule: long non-coding RNA, 1551 nt
Filed under: Marmota monax (woodchuck)
Lineage: Eukaryota; Metazoa; Chordata; Mammalia; Rodentia; Sciuridae
Source: RNAcentral
UUGUGCCUUUCCAACUCCGCCAUCCCCGUAUUUGUCUAUGUCUGAAUAUAUUUUUUACUGUUGCAUUUGUGGUGUGGGGGUUGUUGACAUCCAGGGAUUAGAGGCCAGGAAAGUUGCUCAAUGUCCUAGCAUGCACAGGACAUCCCCACAAGGAAGCAAUGUAGCCUAGAAUGUCAGUAGUUCAGAGAUUGACAAACCCUAGGUUAAAUGAUUUUUAAGAUCCUUUGCAGCCACUCUGUAACUUGUCCUUUGGACUUCCUGUUAGACUGCUAGAGCUGGAAGAGGACAGAAGUAAAAAUCUCUGCUUCGGAGUCAGACCAGCCCAGGUGGGAACCCAGGCUUUACCACCUAUUGCCCGGAAUAUUGGCCCAGUGGUGACUGAAGGUUCCUUUACACAGGUGUGCAAAAGCCUGCACACUGGUUGCAAAAGACUGGAGGACUUUCCUGGAAGCUGGGUUUUCCUAGCCAGCACUUGGUAUUUAAUUCUUAGGCUGUAAUACAAUAUUUGUUCUGCCAAUUACAAAUUAUUAUGCCAUAUGGAAGCUACUUAACCUCUCUAUGCCUCAGUUUAUGAAAAUUAGGGGAAUAAUAACACCUUCUUGAAAAGAUUGUUAUAAGAAUUAAGAGCUUUGGUCAGAAUGGCCUAUGGUAUGGGGCUGGGGUUGUGGCUCAGUGGUGGAGCACUUGCCUAGCAUGUGUGAGGAACUGGAUUCGAUCCUCAACACCACAUAAGAAUAAAUACAUAAAAUAAAGGUAUUACGUCCACCUAUAACUAAAAUUUUUUUUAAAAAAAAGAAUGGCCUAUGGUAAGCACUCGUUAAGUGUUAGGUACUAUUAUUAGCAUUAUCAUUUUAUUCACAUUUUAAGUGACAGUGAGCAAAAUGCAUUGUCAAGAUCAAAGAAUGUCAUUAUCACUAUUGUUGAGUUUUCUUUUUAUAUAAGGUGGCUUGAGUAGGGCUACUAAAUAUUCAAAGGAAUAAACUCCCCAAGUCACCCUUUGGUGUAACCAAUGUGUUAAGCAAAUUAUUUAAUUUCACUCAGAUUUAUAUUCCUCAUUUGUUAGAUGACAAUAACAAUAGGCACGAUGUUGUUCUAAGCAUUAAAUGAGAUCAAAUGAAGCACUUAAACUGCAUAACAUGCUAACUGCUCAGUAAGCAAUAAAUAUUUAUCUUCUAAUUUGAUUAGUGGCUGGAAAGAGACACCCAGGCAUCUCUUAACAUCACCAAGGUGGAAGACCAAGUGCCUGCAAGCUCAUUGUUGAGGUGUAUUAACUCCAUCCUAAGUCAAGGGUCCCAGUUGGCAGUACCCUACACAGAUGGAGCCUGAUCCUGUCAACCAAGCAUCCUGGCUUCCAAGGAAAAUCAAGAUGUUACUCAGCAGACAUUAUGAUUGAUGUAUGUAUAUAGGUGACUCUAUGACCAGUGUGAUUCUGCAAUCUGUACAAUUAGAAAAUGAGAAAUUAUACCCCAAUGAUACAAAUGUAUGAAUUGCCAAGAUCAUUGUAAUGUCAUGUGUAGAUAAUAAUAAUAAAAAAAAAGGUGUUACUUAGUG